AACGAACGCUGGCGGCAGGCUUAACACAUGCAAGUCGAACGCCCCGCAAGGGGAGUGGCAGACGGGUGAGUAACGCGUGGGAAUCUACCUAGUUCUACGGAACAACACAGGGAAACUUGUGCUAAUACCGUAUACGCCCUGCGGGGGAAAGAUUUAUCGGAAUUAGAUGAGCCCGCGUUGGAUUAGCUAGUUGGUGGGGUAAUGGCCUACCAAGGCGACGAUCCAUAGCUGGUCUGAGAGGAUGAUCAGCCACACUGGGACUGAGACACGGCCCAGACUCCUACGGGAGGCAGCAGUGGGGAAUAUUGGACAAUGGGCGAAAGCCUGAUCCAGCCAUGCCGCGUGAGUGAUGAAGGCCUUAGGGUUGUAAAGCUCUUUCAGUAGGGAAGAUAAUGACGGUACCUACAGAAGAAGCCCCGGCUAACUUCGUGCCAGCCGCCGCGGUAA
Molecule: ribosomal RNA, 447 nt
Filed under: uncultured bacterium
Lineage: Bacteria
Description: partial 16S ribosomal RNA
Rfam family: Bacterial small subunit ribosomal RNA
Source: RNAcentral